ACUGGCGUGCGGCUCUGAGGGUGAGCGGAGCCGCCGUUUGUUCAUCCCAGAGCUUUUGUCAUGCCCGAAAUCUAGAUCACAGUAACAAUCCAGAAUCAGAUGGUCUGCGACUGAUGUGUCACUUGGGUCCCUGCUCAGCAGAAGUGCUGUAGUCUACAGGUACAGAAGCUUACAAGCAAACAUGGGCCUACACUGGAAUCAAGGAUUUUGGUUCCAUUCAUUGCAGAAAACAUGGCACACUGAUUGAUGUGGCUGCGAGAGCUUUUGCUUGGAUAAGUGAAUCUUGGAACUCCCUGAGUCUCAUAGGAUGUUUGAAGAAGAAUGUUAAUGUACAGAUCAUUCACCUCAUCUGUUUUGAUUUUACACAGGUGAAGAGCUCAUUAUUGAAACAAGAAUUCUGUACAAAUAUUGGGCUAAGAAAUUUAUGCAAUUAUCUCACAAAGAUAAAUAGCAAAUGCAGUCCUGUGGUCUUUGGCCAAAAUGCUUGUAAUGUGGAAGGCUGAAGUUGUCAGCAGAAUAAUCUUACCAACAUUUAAAUCAGACAGUUUAGAAUGUGGGUGCCUUAUUUUAAUCUCUUUAGGGUUGCUAAGUGCAUGUAAUAUGUGCUUUCAUUGAUACAAAGCCUUCACUCUUG
This 634-nucleotide long non-coding RNA is filed under the name Apteryx rowi (Okarito brown kiwi). RNAcentral describes it as "lncRNA (ENSARWG00000017784.1)". The record is from RNAcentral. Lineage: Eukaryota; Metazoa; Chordata; Aves; Apterygiformes; Apterygidae.